This 14099-nucleotide long non-coding RNA is filed under the name Hordeum vulgare. RNAcentral's name for it is "long non-coding RNA (HVUL_LNC006670)". Lineage: Eukaryota; Viridiplantae; Streptophyta; Magnoliopsida; Poales; Poaceae. The record is from RNAcentral.
GACCCUGGUGAUGUGGAGGACCAGCGCCCCAGGAAGAGGUUUCCUGCCAAGGUGAUGUGGUAUGCUCCUAUAAUACCACAUUUGAAACGUCUGUUCAGAAACAAAGAGCAUGCCAACUUGUUUCGAUGGCACAAAGAAGAUCGUAAGAAAGACGGGAUGUUGAGAGUGCUCACUGAUGGGUCGCAAUGGAGAAAAAUCGAGAGGAAGUGGCCAGAGUUUGCAGAUGACGCAAGGAAAUUAUGGUUUGGUUUAAGUGCAGAUGACCUUAGUCCUUAUGGGGAGCAGAGCAACAAACAUAGCACCUCACCUAUGACUCUAUGUAUCUAUAACUUUCCUCAUUGGUUGUGCAUGAAGCGGAAGUUCAUUAUGAUGAAAUUUCUCAUCCAAGGCUCUAAGCAACCCGGCAACGACAUUGUUGUGUACCUAAGGCCAUUAGUUGAAGAACUUUUACAUUUGUGGCAUAUCAAAGGUGUACAUGUGUGGGAUGAGAACAAACAGGAAGAAUUUGACCUACGAGCAUUGUUGUUUGUAACCAUCAAUGAUUGGUCUGCUAUUAGUAACCUUUUAGGGCACACAAACAAGUGAUAUAAUGCAUGCACACACUGUUUAGAUGAGACUGCAAGUAUAUAUUUGGACAAAUGUAAUAAGAAUGUGUACAUGGGACAUCGUCAAUUUGUUCCGACCAAGCAUGCCUUAAUAAAGAAAGGCAAGCAUUUCAAAGGUGAGUCAUAUCACCGGAAGAAGCAUGUCCCCCGUACAGGUGAUGCUAUAUUUGAGAUGGUAAAGGAUUUAAAUUCAAUCUUUGCAAAUGGUCUUGGCGGACAAUCUGUUCCAAAUGACGAUGACGGACAAAACACCCAUGUGGAAGAAGAAAUCUAUAUUUUGGGACCUACCCUAUUUGAAAGACCUAGAGGUCCGCUCUGCAAUCGACAUGAGACACGUGACGAAGAAUCUUUGCAUGAACCUGCUAGGCUUCUUGGGCAUGUAUGGGAAGAUAAAAUAUACUCCGAAGGCACGGGAGGACCAGCAACAUAUGAAUGAAAAAGACGGCAUGCAUCAAAAGUAGUAUCAAGGUCUUGUCAGCUAUACUCUUACCAAAGGAUGGAAGGAAAUCUUUUUUGAAUGCCUGCUUAGUAUCAAGGUCCCAUAUGGCUUCUCAUCGAAUAUAAUGGGAAUAAUAAAUAUGGAAGAGAAAAAAAUUCCAGAACCUAAAGUCUCAUGGCUGCCACGUGAUUAUGACACAACUGCUUCGAGUUGCAGUGAGGGGGCUUCUACUAGAAAAUGUUCGAUUAUCCAUUGUGAAGCUAUGUGCAUUCCUCAAUGCAAUUUCUCAGAAGGUAGUCGAUCCAGAAAUCCUACCAAGGUUAUAGAAUGAUUUGGUCCAAUGUCUUGCCAGUUUUGAGUUGGUGUUCCCACCAUCCUUCUUCAACAUUAUGAUGCACGUCCUAGUUCACCUAGUCUACGAGAUAGCCAUUUUAGGUCCUGUAUUUCUGCAUAAAAUAUUCCCCUUUGAGAGGUUCAUGGGAGUCUUAAAAAAUAUGUUCGUAACCAUAUUAGGGCAGAAGGAAGCAUCUCCAACGACCAUGAAACACAGGAGGUCGUUCAAUUUUGUGUUGACUUUAUUCCUCACAUUAAGUCGAUUGGUGUUCCUCAAUCAUGACAUGAGGGGAGACUUAGUGAAAAAGGCACGCUAGGACCAAACUCAAUAAUAUGUAGGGACGGGCAUUCAUGGGCGUAAGCACACUACAAAGUUGUAUAAAAUUCUACCUUAGUGGCCCUGUAUAUCAAUGAACACAAGAAUAUUGUACGCUCCCGACAACCGGGCAGUCUGACGACGGGAUUACACGUGCACACAUCUCAUGAGUAACAACACUAUUGGAUAUGACAUGUACUUGUUGGCCAGGACACCAUCUUCGACUAUGUUGAGUUUACAAGGGUACGGGAUAAAUGGGAAUACAUUUUACACAAUUACCCAAGAUAAAAAGAGUACCAACCAAAAUAGUGGUGUCCACUUUGACGCAACGGACAUCAAUAAUGCAAAGGACACAUAUUAUGGUUACAUAGAGGAGAAAAGGGAACUUGGCUAUGGGCGUGAUGAAUUUAAGGUCCCUUUUUUGGUGCAAAUGGGUCAAUCUAACAGAACACGAGGUAUAGGUAGACCCGUAGUACGGAAUGACAAAGUGGAUCUCAACAAUCUUGGGUUAUCACAAGAACCAUUCGUCCUAGCCAAUGAUGUGGCGCAUGGUUUCUAUGUGAAGGACAUGUGUGCCAAACUGAGAAAAAGAAAAUAUAAGGAAGCAAAUACAUCAUACGAUGAGCAAAGCGCCACAUAGUUCUUUCAGGGAAAAGAAACAUAGCGGGAGUGGAGGAAAAGACAAACAUGUGAGAAGAUUAUGAAAAGUUUCACGAAAUUCCUCCCUUCAUAGUGAAGGCUGACCCAAGCAUCCUGCUAAAUGAUGAAGAUUAUCCAUGGUUAUGGCGUAAUAAGCAUGGGACACACACGAAGAAACAGUUUUAUACCCCAAGAUCCCACUCUCGGAUGUCACCGGCUUCACCGCCAUCACUCUCUCUAGUGUGAGUUUCCGUACUUAUAGAUGGAAAGUUCCACUUCGGACAAACCAGGGGGAAUCUUAGCUAGGGCAUUUCGGCAUUUGAAACAUGAUUUUAAAAUAAUAAUUUAUUAAUUUAUGAAUUUUGAAUUAUUCCUGUCCCUUUAGUAUUUUAAUUAUACAGAGGAUUUAAUCAAUGCAAUUAUGUCCAAACAAAAUACGAUUGUCUUUUGAGAAUUCCAGAUAAGUCGUUUGAGGUUGACAGACAUAGGCCAUACACCGUCACCAGUUGGAGAUCUUUAGAGAGGAGCAGAGUAGCUGAGAUAGGGGCAACACUCAUGGGAUCUCCUGCUCGGUUGCUCCCACUAAACUAGUCCUGGUAGAAGUUAAGCGCUAGAGGUAUUGUCAUGUCAGUCAAGUUGGUAGGCCACCUAAAAAGCAAGCUCUAUUAUCGCAAAUUCCGGAAAGGGUUAAAAGGGGAAGUUGAUCAUAUGUUGAGGGAUGAGAAUCAGAUAGUCCUAUAAUAAAAAUCAAUUGGUUUGGCAUAUCUCAUGAACAUCUAGGCACCUUUAUAUUAUCUUACAUGAGGAGUACAAGCCCACAUCAUGAGUAUGUUGGUUUAUACCCAAAUGGCCUUAGAUUCCGGAAGAAAUUUUUUGACAGUAUUGACCACCUUGUGUCAUAUUUUCAAGAACAUAUUGACUAAACACCACCUCAUGCUGGCCCUUUAAUGCGAAAUGUUGCAGAAAUGAUACCUAUGAAAAUUAACUUGAUAGAACUAUUUGUCACUCUUUGGUGAAUAUCUAUAUAAUCAAACAUUGCAUUCAUAUAAGCAUUCACUCUAGCAAGCAUUCUAGCAAUCAAAAUACAAUCAGUGAAUAAACAAAUAAAUAAAACAAUAAAGUUAUUAGGUUAACAAAAAGUAUUUUAUAAUAUUCUUCAAUAGCAAAAAGAUCAACUAGAAAGCUUUUAUAAAACUCUAGUUAUGAUCAAAAUAAUAUAAACUUAAAAUUAUAUAAAAUUUAUCCAAACUAGGCAUGCACAUAGCUUUUAUAAAACACUAGUUAUAGAACUCUAGGAAUGCACAUAGCUUCUUAAAAACUUCAAUAGAAAAUAGAAUUAAAUGAAAAGUAGGCAUGUAUGCAAGUGCUUAAAAGAAAACUAAAACUAAAAUAUCCUAAAAAGGUCUAAAACCAAAAAUAGGAAAAAUGGAUUUAGUCUCGCUUGUGGCUACAACCGGGACUAAAGGCCAACCUUUAUUCCUGGACGGAACCACCAACCGGGACUAAUGCCCUAGGUUUCACGCCCUUUGCGCUGUUGAAAUAUAGCUUUUGUCCCGGUUGGUGGCUCCGACCGGGACUAAAAAGGGAGGCCUUUAGUCCCGGUUGUGGCCACCAACCGGGACUAAAGACUAGGGUAUUUAACCGCGCCUUCUCCCCUCCCCCAAUCUUCCUCUCCAAUCCUUCCCUGACGCCGCGCCAAACCCCCACACCACCACGGCGCUAGGCUGCCGGAGAUCGUCGUCGCCUCCGAGCCGUCCCCGAGCCCGCCUACCGUCGCUGGACCUCCUCUCCCUCCUCCUCGAGCAUUGUCGCCCCCGCUCCUCGUCGCCUUGAGCUCCUUCUCCCAACACCCUCUCCCUGUUGGCCACCAUGGGCUGAAGCUCGUCGGUGCCGUUGUUCCCCUCUCAUCCUAUCCCCCACAUGCCCUCCCUGCGGUCACAGCCGCCCGCGCCGACGCUGACGCCGACGCCGCCCACGCUCAGGCAGCACAAAACCAUACUUCUGCAUUAUAAUUAUGUUUUUCUUGUUUAUGAUAUAUAUAUNNNNNNNNNNNNNGUAAUAAGCAUGGGACACACACGAAGAAACAGUUUUAUACCCCAAGAUCCCACUCUCGGAUGUCACCGGCUUCACCGCCAUCACUCUCUCUAGUGUGAGUUUCCGUACUUAUAGAUGGAAAGUUCCACUUCGGACAAACCAGGGGGAAUCUUAGCUAGGGCAUUUCGGCAUUUGAAACAUGAUUUUAAAAUAAUAAUUUAUUAAUUUAUGAAUUUUGAAUUAUUCCUGUCCCUUUAGUAUUUUAAUUAUACAGAGGAUUUAAUCAAUGCAAUUAUGUCCAAACAAAAUACGAUUGUCUUUUGAGAAUUCCAGAUAAGUCGUUUGAGGUUGACAGACAUAGGCCAUACACCGUCACCAGUUGGAGAUCUUUAGAGAGGAGCAGAGUAGCUGAGAUAGGGGCAACACUCAUGGGAUCUCCUGCUCGGUUGCUCCCACUAAACUAGUCCUGGUAGAAGUUAAGCGCUAGAGGUAUUGUCAUGUCAGUCAAGUUGGUAGGCCACCUAAAAAGCAAGCUCUAUUAUCGCAAAUUCCGGAAAGGGUUAAAAGGGGAAGUUGAUCAUAUGUUGAGGGAUGAGAAUCGGAUAGUCCUAUAAUAAAAAUCAAUUGGUUUGGCAUAUCUCAUGAACAUCUAGGCACCUUUAUAUUAUCUUACAUGAGGAGUACAAGCCCACAUCAUGAGUAUGUUGGUUUAUACCCAAAUGGCCUUAGAUUCCGGAAGAAAUUUUUUGACAGUAUUGACCACCUUGUGUCAUAUUUUCAAGAACAUAUUGACUAAACACCACCUCAUGCUGGCCCUUUAAUGCGAAAUGUUGCAGAAAUGAUACCUAUGAAAAUUAACUUGAUAGAACUAUUUGUCACUCUUUGGUGAAUAUCUAUAUAAUCAAACAUUGCAUUCAUAUAAGCAUUCACUCUAGCAAGCAUUCUAGCAAUCAAAAUACAAUCAGUGAAUAAACAAAUAAAUAAAACAAUAAAGUUAUUAGGUUAACAAAAAGUAUUUUAUAAUAUUCUUCAAUAGCAAAAAGAUCAACUAGAAAGCUUUUAUAAAACUCUAGUUAUGAUCAAAAUAAUAUAAACUUAAAAUUAUAUAAAAUUUAUCCAAACUAGGCAUGCACAUAGCUUUUAUAAAACACUAGUUAUAGAACUCUAGGAAUGCACAUAGCUUCUUAAAAACUUCAAUAGAAAAUAGAAUUAAAUGAAAAGUAGGCAUGUAUGCAAGUGCUUAAAAGAAAACUAAAACUAAAAUAUCCUAAAAAGGUCUAAAACCAAAAAUAGGAAAAAUGGAUUUAGUCUCGCUUGUGGCUACAACCGGGACUAAAGGCCAACCUUUAUUCCUGGACGGAACCACCAACCGGGACUAAUGCCCUAGGUUUCACGCCCUUUGCGCUGUUGAAAUAUAGCUUUUGUCCCGGUUGGUGGCUCCGACCGGGACUAAAAAGGGAGGCCUUUAGUCCCGGUUGUGGCCACCAACCGGGACUAAAGACUAGGGUAUUUAACCGCGCCUUCUCCCCUCCCCCAAUCUUCCUCUCCAAUCCUUCCCUGACGCCGCGCCAAACCCCCACACCACCACGGCGCUAGGCUGCCGGAGAUCGUCGUCGCCUCCGAGCCGUCCCCGAGCCCGCCUACCGUCGCUGGACCUCCUCUCCCUCCUCCUCGAGCAUUGUCGCCCCCGCUCCUCGUCGCCUUGAGCUCCUUCUCCCAACACCCUCUCCCUGUUGGCCACCAUGGGCUGAAGCUCGUCGGUGCCGUUGUUCCCCUCUCAUCCUAUCCCCCACAUGCCCUCCCUGCGGUCACAGCCGCCCGCGCCGACGCUGACGCCGACGCCGCCCACGCUCAGGCAGCACAAAACCAUACUUCUGCAUUAUAAUUAUGUUUUUCUUGUUUAUGAUAUAUAUAUGAUGCACUGAUGUGAAGUUUGGUUCUUGAAUUAGGAUGCCUCUUGGUACUCGUGUUUUGUUGUGCGAACAUGUGUAUAUGUAAAGUAUAUGCAAUAUAUCAUAUGUGAUGCCUCAUUAUAUACUUAUUGUUUCGAUUUUUCAUGCUUUAAGAGAAACGCUAAAUAAGGUUUAACUCCGUUAUAGCCUUCCAUACCUUGGUCAAGUCGCCCCUAAAUGGCAUAGCCCGGUAUUUAAAACAUUGGUUUUGCAUGUCAAAAGAACUAGAGUUUAGUGGGAUCACCUAUUUAGAUAUACUAGAUGGUAACCUGCACAUUGUUGCAGAAUUGUUUUGCCAUACAUUUCGAUGCGAUUUGAUUAUUUGUAGUUGUAAAAUGUCUAGCAUAAUAGAAUGCAAAUUCUCAUGCAUGUUUUAGUUAAAAAAAAUCAAAAUUCAAACUUUUUAAUUUAANGCACCCUCAUCGUCGACUCGGUGGAGACAACCAGUUUGAGAGGCGCCAUGUUCGGGACUCGGCUCCGCUGGGAUAGCAUUGGAAGGUGCUACCUUUCGGGGCGCGCGGCUUGGUUUGGAAUCAGGGUCUCGUUGUGGACCCGGAGCUUAUUUGAGGGCAGUCGCGUGGACCACUGUCGGUGCAGAGGGAGCGGCGCACCUGAUGAGGUGGUACGUCGCCGUGUCAUAGAGGAGGACGAGCACGUCCGUCGCUACAUGGUUGCGUUGGAUGUGAGGUUCUUCAAUACCUGGUAGAAUCUUCACGGAUCUCACCCGAGCUAUGAUCCUGUGAUGGUUUCUUUUCUUUGGUUGUCCACCGUCCGUGGCUCACGAACCGUGAGUCAACUGGAUUAUUCGAUAAUAUUCAAGAUGUAUUAGUGAUAUUAUAUAAUAAUAUUUGAUAUGUAUUAGUGAUAAUGUUCGAUAAUAUUCGAUGAUGAAUUAACUAGAUUAUUCGGUAUAACUCGAGUUGUAUUAGUGAUAUUAUAUGAUCAUAUUCGAUAUGUAUUAGUGAUAAUAUUAGAUGAUGCAUUAACUGUAUUUUUUGAGAUGUAUUAGUGAUAUUAUAUGAUAAUGUUAUAUGAAGAGUCCCCGAUGAUCGCCGGUGAUAUUUUAUGAUGAUCCUGCUAAAAAAUUAAUCCUCCUCACCAUCCCUCGCCCCUCAGAUCGAACCUUGCCGACGACUGACUACUAUUAUUCAGUUUUUGCAUUAAAUACUAAAAUGUUAAUCCUAAAAUCAAUGAGCAUUAAGGAAAAAAUUGCCACCGAUUUUUAAUCUUAGAAUCAUGAACACAGGAAAUAUCGUCGUCCGACGGCGAUAGGAUCGCUAAGUGUCAUUUUUGCUCGGAUGACAAAGAUAUAUCUAACCGUUAUCUUCACCUAGACAACGGUACGUCAUUCACCGUCAAGCUACACGAUGACUUUGAGAUUUUUACGAUAUGUAAAGACGACAUGUAGUUUUUAUUAAUUUUCUUUUGUACAAUUCGACUGGUGCAUCUUCUGCCAUGCAAGAUUUGUUGACUUGGACAAGUUUCAUUUCAAAGAGAAGGAAGUACAGAGCCUAAGAUAGCUCACCUAAGAACAGAGCAUUUCACUUUUGUUUUUAAGGUAAAAAAUGAAGAAGAUCAUACAUAUUUUGGUUGUUCUAAUUGAAGAGCAUUUUGCAAGGCGUAUGGGUUGGAUGAGGACAUGAACAUUAUCUUCGAUCUUGGUAAUGAUGAUGUUCGUGAUAAUAAUAUAUAAAUAUGGGUGCAUGCCGAGGAUGAUUUGAUUCCAGUUGUACCUUCAGGUGCGUUUGUCAACAGAUUUGUUAGGAAAUUUAUAUUGAUUAUUAAAAAGUAUCUGGUACUCAUCCCGACUAAAUUUCUUCAUUUUCAGUUAUUAACUUAUUUUCCUACUACAAAAACUACACGAUGGAUAAUAGAUCAGACCUACUAUAGUUAUUGCUCCGAGCUUACUUGAUUGGAAAAAAUCAUCUCAUCUCAUUUAUUCAUGAUGUUGAGUAUCAUGCUAAAUAUAACAUGACUCACAACAUUUAUCAUGGCUAUGUGCCACUAGUGCACGAGUUGAAUCAUUAUAAUAUCACUUCAUACAACUUUGUAAGAAUUUUUUUACCAUUGCAUCGCUGGUCCAUCUUUUUCAUACAAUGUUCUUAAGCAAAACUACUCUAGUUAACUAUGUUAUUAUUACUUAUAUUCUUCAACAUGUACUCGUGCCAGAGACCGUGUCUAAAUGGAUGUUUACCAUCGGUGAUUUGCAUAUAGUUAGCUUACGCCCAAUGUUGAUAAGUUAUCCUCGUAAAUACAAAAUGUCUCAUAGUGAAGAAACCCUGAAAAUCGAAGGAUGGAGCAAGGCAAUAAAAGCAUCCACUCAACCACUUGGACACAAUAUCUUGAUUGUUGGAGAUAGAUUGAUCAAGCCACAAGUUGAAGAUAGGUUGAUAUAUAUUCUUCAAUAUGGAGAUGCAUGAGUUUACCUUUUUAUGUUAUUUUACCUAGGAGGGAGCAGUAGUUAGUGUUUUUAACUUGUGAUAACUUGAUCACUUGCUAGUAUGAUAACAACCAGAAUGAUGAGCGGUUCACCUUCUUAUGCUAUUUUACCUAGAAUGAUAAAAAGUUGAUUAAGAUAAUGAUGAGUUGUUAUAUGACAUAUACUAGUACAAAUUAGAUGGAUGCAAUAGACCAAGUUGAAUUAGAGGAAAAUACGAUGUUACGACGCCACAUCGUAUUUUCUUCUAAUUCAACUUGGUCUAUUGUAUCCAUCUAAUUUGUACUGAUGUUGGAUGUUGUUCUUUCAUGAUUUAUACUGAUAGUGUAUAAAUAUAUGUAACGCGUUAAUCGACCCACACGUUUAUGGAUAAACCCCCANGGAGAAUUACCAGCUAGCACACACGGAGAGAUGAUAGCUCGGUGAUUUGCGUUUGAUCUAGCUCGUUACUGCUCAAAAACUGUCGAGAAUGCGAUCCAUUUUAUACUCGCGCGGCCUGAUUUGGCGACGCGUACCACGCCCGCGUGAACCAUGCGCGUCGGUUUAGAUUCUUUUUCAAUAUAAUUUAAUAAUUUGGCGAUCAGGUUCGAUCCGUAUGCUCUCUUCCAAAAGAUCGAAAGGUUAGAUUCGUUCUUUAAAUAUUUGACGGUUAGCAUGGGUGCAGUGUGUCACGGGACCUGAUCCAUACGUGCUUUCCGGUUUUCGAAUUUGUCUCCCGCCCACUCACAACAAUAUUUUAGGUCCCUAUUUUUUUGUCUUCGCACACUCACAACAAUAUUUAUGUCGAUAUUUUCUUUGUUUAUGAAUUUUGUUUCCAUCGCCAUUUCUAAGAGCAACUCUAGCAGACACCGUAUAAAUGGUCAAAUCCGUAAUUUUUUUACGUUUUACAGUUUUGAUCGACAAAAGUGUUUAAAACAAAACCGUAAAAAUGGUUCAACCCGUAAUUUUUUUAAGGAACACUCAAAAUCCACACCCGAAAUCCUUAUAUUUGAAGGUUAGAACGUCGAACCGAGGAGGUCCGUAUACCGGUCAAACCUCGUCGGAGCAAACACGUCAACGCGGAGUUUGCCAGAAUCCACCCUAAACUCGCUGGAAUCCAUUACUGCACACCAAAAAAGGUCGUUGGACGCCGAAAUCGAUCGCCGCUGGUUCGAAUCUCACGAGCUCGACCUCGUCGUAGCCUCCCAUGACCUCAGCCUGGUUGCCGAAAUCCCCCCGACACGGCCGGCAAAGGGACAUGGCUUGGCCAGCACGGCUGGGAGCGGAGCAGGGCAUAGCCGACGGGCGACGGGGCACGGCCAGCGAGGCUGGGUGCGGUCGACAUGGUCAUGGGGCGCGACCGACGGGCUUGAACGCGGCCAGCAUGGCCGGCGCAAUCAGCUAGGAGAAGGGGCGGCGACGGCCGGACUGGAGGAAGAAGCUUUUUGUCCAAGUUUUACAAAAAAAUUACAUUAUUUGUUCGUCCAUUGCUAAAAUUGACCCUUAAAUGCCUUUUUCGACCCUUAUCCCAGUUUUACAAUUUGCGAUUUUAAGGGGUCUGCUAGAGGUGCUCUAACAUUUUUUGCUAUCUCCCGAUGCCGCCCCACACCCCCACCCUUCCCUACCCCUAACAUUCAAUGCGUGGCAACCUAAAUUGUUACGUUCAUAUCUCACCUCCCGCCAUCUUAACACUCCGGUAACCAAUCAUGCUAUACUGCUACACACCACCAGUCGACUCUUGGGUUCUUAUUGAGCCCUUUAUUCAUCAUUCAUACCACGGAGUGAUCUUGGCAUGUUGUCAUGACGCCAUCGUCCAAAACUGGAGAAGGAAACAACUUUGCCUCGCUGGAAGGAGACGGACCCUUCCUCACCUUCAAGUGGAGUUCGGGGAUAUAUAUUCUUCGCUGCUUCGCACAGGACCAGUUUGUCGUCGGCUGCCAUGAUCUUGUAUGGUGCUUGGGCCGCUACUGCCUUGACCAUCUCAAAUAUAACUGCCCAUUAUGCCAGCUAGCUGGUCAAGCUCCUCAUUACAACUCCCGCCCAUCUUCAUGUCGAUUGCAGGACAUGCUUUCCUGCCAAGUGCCUUGCCCCUGCAGUCGCUUGCCUCCAACCCCUCAACAUCGAAAACAAACACACAUGGGCUUCAGUUGUUGUUCAUCCCACCGUGCCUGUGGAGGCUUCUAUGACCGAUCGCGACAUGGCUACUGCUGUUUUGGGGUUGUUGCAAGCUCUCCUUGCAGCACGGGUGGGGGCUCUAAGCAUUUAGUUGCAGGUUGUAUUUGCAUCUCGUUGAACGAUAUUGAUGAGCCCCUUUCACGACAUGGUGGUUGCUAUGCAGGGUUGGACAACUUAGGUUGCAUUCCUUUUGGGGCGAUUAGAGGACGCUGAUGGAAAGUUUGCCUUCGUGAAUUACUCGGUGUUGUUGGCUAUCUCCCCCUCUCGUGUGAGCAUGAGGAAUCUGUGCAUCUUCUCCUUGCGGGUGGUAAGGAUAUCACUUAGGUCGGUGUGGACGGUAGGGCCUUUGAGCUACUCACUACUAGGGAAAAUCCUAUAGGCACAUAGGUAACCGUAGCGCAAGGUAAAUGGGCCACGCCAGAACCCAACCCUACAGGUACAACUUAGUAGUAGAGUAGGUAGGCAUACCUUUGUACUAGCUAAGGUGGCAUAGUCUUAAGGAUAAUUAUCCUGUUUUGGAUCUUGUCUUACCUGAGAUGAUGACAUUGUGGCUCCAAGCAAUGGCACGGAGCUAACAUAGACGACUUCGCCUAUUAGAUAAGUUCGGGAGGUGUCCACAUUGGUUUCCUCUCCAAAGUUGAUAAUGCCAGAUGACCCCUCGCAUUCUAAUGUCUUCCGAGGCCAACGAGACUCUAGAGGACAUUGGCGAGCACAAGACCCAACAUCGUCUAUCUUGUUCGAUGAGUUCUUGAGCAGCUUCAAUUGCACUCUGAUGCACCUUGUUCCUUGGUCGAUGGACCGGUUCAUGUGUAUAUUGAAGGGGGUUCUAAAUGUGUCUAGAGGCGUAAUGGAUGUGCGGAUAAGAAGAACAAAUAUUGCAACAUCCGGACUUCCAAGCGCGCUAAAUUUAGGUUGGUUGAAGCUUUUGCUGAUUUUCCUAAGGGCAUGAGCUCAAAGAAAGUCACCGGGGAGGAUGUGCAAGAAAAGAUGAAAUCUUAUCUACAGAUGUACAACAAACCGCUCACACCAAUAGUGAACCAGCCAAUUCGUCCUUGAUAGAGGUUAAUGUUUGAUUAAUUUUUCAUAAGGUUUAGCGCAAGUGUGGUCUUGAGGUUGCGGAGCUUGACUUGAUUGGGUAUGCUGUGUUUUUUAUUGUCUUGGGCCUACGCACGCUUGUACUCGGUUCGGGUGAUGUUCCUUAAUUGCUAAUCAGGUGUAUGUGGUUUUCAUUAGCUUUUCUUAAUUAACCAUUUCCUUUUUGUGGUUUUUGGGUCUGACUUCCUUCAUUGGCUGGCCAAUUCUUCUUCUUCUUCCUAACGCAAUGUUAGAGCUCCCCACCAAUUGACGAGUUUCCUAAAAAGAACUGUACCUCGGUACAAGGUUUUUGUUGAGUUGACGAAAAAGACGGAGGCAAUACUUUGUUACUCCUUCCUCCUCAUCUCUUUCCCCUUCUUAAUUUCUGCACUCUUUGUUGUUUUGUUCCCCUACCGGAGUGGCACAAAAGGUGUCACACCCUAAGACUAGUCAUAGUGAAAGUAACAUAAUCAAUAACAUACAUGCUACAUAAGCAAAAAAGAUGAUGUGACAAGCAAUUAAAAAAAAGAGAGAUAAAUAAAUUAACAUACUAUGUUACCAUCACAUAACGGUUCCUAAUAACAGAUGAGUCUAUAAAAUAAUAAAUAAAAAUGUCUAUGUUACUAUAACUAUGACACUAUCCACUAUAAAGGUAAUAACAUAACCUAGUAACAUAUGCAUGCUACUAUAUUCUAAAUUACUCUUCACUAUGACUAGCCUAAGGCUGGCCAUAAUGGUGGUAUCAUAGCUCAUAUCAUACCCUCGGAAAUAGCAAACAGGAUGAUGUGACAGAGAAUUAAAGAAAAGAGAAAGGGUUAGAGUAGUAACAUGGAUAGAUAUUGUAUCAUGUUAAAUAUUAUGCUAUUUUAUGUUAUGCAUAAUAAUAAAUAAGAUCAUAUAUGAUAUUAUGCAGUUUAAAGGUAGUAUCAUACACAUGUAUCAUAUGCAUGAUGCUACUACAUUAUACUUUUCAUUACAAAGGCUUUUUCAAUGCAUCGUCUUUUAACGCGUUAUCAUAGGAGGUAUAAAAACUUAAGAGACGACCACAAUGCAUUGUUUCUUUUUUGUUGUGUCAAAAUGUAAUGAUCGGGGCUGAUGCAUACAUGCGAUUCGUCCAGUAUUGUUUUGCCUAAAGCUACAACCAACAUUUUCUCCUUCAUUAACUACGAUGCAACAUUAGUAAAUCAACGAACAUUUGGUAGGAACUUCUAUUUUUUCCAUCAGUACACACGGGCCGAGCACGGCGGUACAUAUACCUUGUAUUUCAUCAGUACAGUGAACACGAUUUUUUCGUCACACAGACUUAUUACGUCACCACACACAUCAUUACCGGCUGAAACGAAAGCAUAUCACACACCAUGCGUAGCUCUUAUUUAGGUAGUACGGAGAGCAUGGUUAAUGAUCAACUAAGGCAUGUCAUGGAGGCGCGCACGCACGUAGGCACCUGCCGCGCCCACUUCACCUGAUCCAGCUGCUGCCGUGCUUGCCGCCAUGGUACUUCCCGCCGUGCUUGCCGCCGUGGUACUUCCCGCCGUGGUGGUGCCCGCCGCCAUGCCCGGUGUGGUACGAUCCCAUGUGACCUGCACCCACGAAUGAGCACGUUUUAUGUGUCCCGUACGUCUCAAAUUUGACAGUGGAUGCAUGCAGGUGCAAGAUAUACUAUACUCCGGCUAGUUAAUUACCCUGGUGAGCCCCGUGAGAGGGGUAGGCGGCCGGCGCGUAGCCGUGCGCCUGGUAGCCGCCGUGCGGAGGGUAGGCGCCGGCGGCAGGAGGGUACCCGAGCUGCGCGUGACCGCCGCCGUAUCCGUGCUGCUGCACGUGUCCUCCGUACCCGUGCUCGUGGCCAUGACCGUGCUGUGCAUGUCCGCCGCCGUACCCGUGCUCGUAGCCGCCGUGCCCGUGCUGCGUAUGUCCGCCGUACCCGUGCUCGUAGCUCUGUGCAUGGCUGCCAUAUCCCUGCUGGUAGCCCUGUACAUGGCCACCGCCGUAGCCGUGCCCCUGGCCGUACGAUGAUCCGUAGCCGUGGCCUUUCCCGCCGCCGACGAGGCCGGACACGAAGCCCUUCACGCCGCCGUUGUGGCCGCCGUGCAUGUCGUGGCCUCCACCCAUGCUUCCA